AUAUCUCUCCGUACGGGAAGGAUGAGAAGCUUCGACUAAGGUUCGAUUCGAGCGAAAGCGAGAAAGCGUUGCCAA
RNAcentral lists this small RNA (75 nucleotides) under Salmonella enterica. RNAcentral's name for it is "partial RtT sRNA". It matches the Rfam family "RtT RNA", at positions 1 to 74 of the family's 130-position model. From Rfam's summary of the family: This family represents a bacterial cis-regulatory element known as RtT RNA. The exact function of RtT is unknown although it is thought that it may be involved in changing the cellular response in relation to amino acid starvation. Lineage: Bacteria; Pseudomonadati; Pseudomonadota; Gammaproteobacteria; Enterobacterales; Enterobacteriaceae. RNAcentral also lists the same sequence under 2 other names. The record is from RNAcentral.